GGUGGCUCAGUGGUAGAGCACUUGUCUUACAUACAUGAGGCUCUGGGUUCAAUUCCUCAGCACCA
This 65-nucleotide transfer RNA is filed under the name Dipodomys ordii (Ord's kangaroo rat). It matches the Rfam family "tRNA". From Rfam's summary of the family: Transfer RNA (tRNA) molecules are approximately 80 nucleotides in length. Their secondary structure includes four short double-helical elements and three loops (D, anti-codon, and T loops). Further hydrogen bonds mediate the characteristic L-shaped molecular structure. tRNAs have two regions of fundamental functional importance: the anti-codon, which is responsible for specific mRNA codon recognition, and the 3' end, to which the tRNAs corresponding amino acid is attached (by aminoacyl-tRNA synthetases). tRNAs cope with the degeneracy of the genetic code in two manners: having more than one tRNA (with a specific anti-codon) for a particular amino acid; and 'wobble' base-pairing, i.e. permitting non-standard base-pairing at the 3rd anti-codon position. The record is from Rfam by way of RNAcentral. Lineage: Eukaryota; Metazoa; Chordata; Mammalia; Rodentia; Heteromyidae.